AUGGCAGUGUUUUUGCAGUUUUCCGACAGAGUGUUUAACAAAAAAUUACCACAUUCCAACCAAUCUUGUCGAGAAACUACCACUCUACAAAAAUUAGCAGAGAACUACCACUCUACGUCUAAUUUUUUGCAAAAAAAAAACACUAAUGACUCUGCCGCAGCAGAAAAACGCUGCCAUGGCAGCAAAAAUAGCAUGUUUUUGCUUUUGCGGCAGAAAAACGCUGCCAUGGAUUUUGCAUAUGCUUCAAUGCAAAUCGCAGAACAUGGAAAUAAUACAGACAAGGAAAUUAAUACUAGCAUGUCUUGCAAGUUGCAGAACAUAUCUUUGAGAACAAAUGCAGCAGUUAAUGCAAUUGCAUCUAUAUCAACCAAGCCAGAGAACACUUUUCUGCAAUAUAAAAGCAGAGUUGCACCUAUACCAUCCAAGUAA
RNAcentral lists this ribosomal RNA (429 nucleotides) under Triticum aestivum (bread wheat). RNAcentral describes it as "partial small subunit ribosomal RNA". The record is from RNAcentral. Lineage: Eukaryota; Viridiplantae; Streptophyta; Magnoliopsida; Poales; Poaceae.